Cydia pomonella (codling moth) is the source of this 3665-nucleotide long non-coding RNA. RefSeq lists it as uncharacterized. The transcript has 2 exons. The record is from RefSeq and is a predicted model, not a curated record. NCBI's taxonomy places the organism in Eukaryota, Metazoa, Arthropoda, Insecta, Lepidoptera, Tortricidae.
UAUAUAGAACGAUUGUAGACGUGAAGACAGUCAAUACAAUAAAUAAUGUUUAUUUUUUCGCAUUUUAUUUUAGCAUGACAUCAUAUUCCUCUCGUUAUCCCGGCUUUUUGCCACGGCUCAUAGGAGCCUAGGGUCCGCUUCUAAACUAGUACCCCGAAUUCGUGUAUGCACUAGUUUUAACGAAAGCGACUGCUAUCUGACCUUCCAACCUAGACGGUAAACGUAAUUGGGAUUAGUCUGAUUUCCUCACGAUGUUUUCCUUCACCAUAAAGCAACUGCUAAAUAUCCAAUGAUAUUUCGUACUUACAUAAGUUCCGAAAAACUCAUUGGUACGAGCCGGUGUUUGAAGUUGAACCCGCGACCUCCGGAUUUAAAGUCGCACGCUCUUACCACUAGGCCACUAUUGCUUAUUUUAUCAUGACAAAUGAUAGUAAUAAAUACAGUAAUUAAUACCGAGGUAAAAUAUAUACUAAGAACAGAUUCCAGGCUUCCUAAGGAAGAUGAUAAUUAUGAGCAAUAAAUUUAUUACACUAUCGCUAUUUAAUAUUUAUUAUUAAAAAUCAUCACUUAAAAGUCAAUUCUACCAGCCAACAUGAGGAAAUAACUCAAAACUUGCAUCAAAUUACUUUGCAGUAUUUGCGGAUAAAACACACACUAUCUUAAAAUCUAAGGAGUAUAAUUUUCACUUAGAGUAAAAUCUAAAUGAAAAUUAAAUAUGGGAGCAACACUAUGACGAAAGUACCUACAUACCUGAAUAAAUUUAAUAGAAUUGGUCACAGUAUGGAUAUGGAAAACCUUCAAUUAAAAAGUUAAGGACAGCCAGAGCAAUUGCAACUAUGGGACUAAUGCAACUGCUCAAAAAAUACAAGAAGUCUAGAGCUAGAGCCAUUUUAUUCAUGCCACACUUUCGCCAGUCCUGAAAGAGAGUUCACCCAUGUAUAAGUGGCUCCAGAUUCUUCUUGUAUUUUUAGAGUAAUUAAAUUUGACCCAGAGUUGCAAUUGUCCUGACUAAACUUAUGAAUUGCAAGUCACGGGACAAAUUUUACUAUGUUUUACGGUACGGCGGAACGCUAAGCACAGGUAUUCUUUCACUAAAAGCCACUUGCACUAAUCACUAACGCGGGAUUAACCGGUUAAACCUGGAGUUAUCAUGGUUACAAGUACAAUUUGACACUGGGUUAACAGUUUAACCGGUUAACCCAGGGGAUGGUGCAAGCGGCCCUAAGAGAAUUUGGACUGUAAAGUGACGCUAGCCCAAUGCGACGGCUUUGAAUGUUUGCGGACUUAAGGAUGACUCACGCUAGACCAGGACGUGAUCACGUGAUAAUUUCCAUAGCCACUCACUUGCUUGAUAUUUUUCAGUGACUUCUAUUAUUAUAAUAAAAUAAGGGUGACAGCUGGUAACUACAGUUACCAAAAGCAAGCUGGAAGCUCCGGCCCGGCCCCGGCCCGGUUUAGCGUCAGUCAUCCUAUAUGCAGGUUCCCUUACAAUGUUUUCUUUUAUCGAAUAACAGCUGAUAAAAGAAUAAAAAUUAUUAUUUCGUUACAGGAUAAUCAUUUUUGUUUGGAAGCGUUAGCGCUCUACUACAAAAUUACCAUUUUUUAACAUUCACAUUGGGUUAAUAAAGAGCGUGUAAUUUAAUUUUCAACGCUUUAUGACGUCUUAUUUCACAUUGAAUUUGCUACACAAUACUUUAUAUUAAGCAUGUCCUUUAGUCGUUCGUAUUAUUAUAUUGCAAUAUGCAUAUUUUGUGAAAACGAAUCCAACUUUAAAUUGUCCUCCUUGAAACAAAGAAGGCGCUAGACGGCCCGAUUCGAACUUUAAUAUACGUCAAAUAUUAGAUCCAGAUACGAUAUGGAUCGGAUAUGUCAGUGACAAAAGUGACGUUUUUGUUUAUAGAAAUUCGGGUCGGGAAAGUUGUUUAAAAUUCUUCCCAAACAAACUUGGAUAUUUAAAAUAAUAAAAGGUACGAGUAUACUGUUUCAUAAAUAUGACAUCGUGAACAUUACUGGUUUAAAUUAUGGCCUUGUAGUACUUUUGAACACGAACUGUAAACUUCGUGCUUUGAAACCCUCGCAACGCUCAAGAUUCAAUUUUUCGAACCUCUCGUUACGUUUGGUGCAUUUAUUUUAAAAUCUUUCGCUUUUUCGUAUAUCAAUAUUAGCAAAUCAACAACUGGACGUAGUUAAAGGAAAAGGAUCCAAUCCACAAAAAUACCAAAACAUGAGUUAAGUAUACCAGGCAGGCCUUUAAUGUGUAUAUUUUCAUUCAGCAAAAAAGCACUGAGCUCACAUAGCGUUUUCAUAUUUUAAUCGACAUCGGAUACCAUCCCCCAUGUAUGAAAGAUUAAAAAUGAUAUUCACCAAUAAGUAUUCAAUACUCUUGGUACCUUGUUGUAAAAUUAUGUUAGUGACAGGACUAGUUUAUAUAAAUUUCAACAAGAAAAAUCCAGACUGCUUGGAAUCUUUUUGAGAAAAUGCAAUGAAUACUUUUCGUCCUAAAUAUAUAUCAACAAAACUGAUCCAACCCAUUUGGAUCAUUUUUGAGAAACAAUUUGACGAUGUGUAAAUACUUUAGCUAAACAACAAAAACGAUUCAGCAAACUUGGAUCACAUUUGUGGAAUUCUUGUUAUUCCAGCAUUGGUGUGUCAGUAAACAACAAAAACGAUUCAUGUUAAAUAUAUUAACUUUAGGCUGACUUUUUAAAUUUAAACAACUUUAUACUUAACCUAAAAGGCAGUUUUACUGCUAUGAUAGGCUAAUUUUGAAUUUUUUGCUAUAUAUGUCGACUUGGAUCGUAAUUCAUAAACAAGAAAGAAAUCAUUCAAACUGUUUGAAUCAUUUUUGCAGGUUUAAAUUAACUUGUUCUUAUAUUCAGCGUCAAACAUCAAAGUCGAUUUAAGUUAUUUGGAUCUUUUUUGAUAAUUUACUCCAGGUAUAGUUUCAUAGUGGCAAAUUAAUCAACGGAAAAGAUCCAGUUUACAUAAAUACGUUGUAGGGAUUUUUUUUAUUUAAAAUGGCAAUACAAUGCUAAAUUUUAAUAACGAUCCAUGUUAAUUAUAUUGUUCAUAAAAAAAAUUGCUUUUAGUAUUAAUUUCGUUUAUACGUUGCUGGUAUUAAUAAUGUUAUAGUAAUUAUAAUUUUGAAACUUUACCUAUCAUUUUUGUAACUAAAAAAACUGAUUUUGCUAUUGCGUCAUGCUGUGCAUUGUCGCGAAAGACAGGUCUGUGGAUUUGUAACGACAAAAAUGGUGAGUAAAAGCUAUUUUGGUUGAAUCCAUCAAAACUUCUUCCGAUAAGAUAAUAUAAUUUAUUAAAUUUCUGUUCUAAUAUGUGUAUGUUAUUAUUUAGCUGAGAAUAGCGAUCCUAAAUUUUUUGCAAGGAAGGCAUGCUAUGACAAGAAUGAAAAAAAUGACGAAAAUAGGCAUAAAACGGGACUGGCGGGACCUUGCUCAGCACAGGGAGGAUUGGAAAGCUAGAGGGGAGGCCUUUGCCCAGCAGUGGGACACACAAAUAGGCUAAUAAAAAAAAUAAAAAAACGAUUAGUGAUUAUAUGAGGCUUUUAUUAUCGUUAAACAGAAGUGAUCUCAAUUUUGUUAAUACUCAAUACUUUGAUAAGCUAUUACAUUGUUUUUUUAAUAAAGUUUUUUAUCUUUUCUUGGUGA